UUAUUUCAAAAAUCGGUAAAAUUUGGAAUCAUCAAAAAUUGACUUAUUACAAAUCUAAUAGUAAUUUUUCUUAAAAAUAUAGUGUUUUCUGCGCUCGCCACUAGAGGGCCAUCCAGGUUAUGUACUUUCUCACAAGUCCCUGUUUAAUCAUCCAUCAAAGACCUAAGGCUUGAAUGGGACACCCUGGAAGUUGAACACCCUAUUGCAAUCUUCUUUGAAGCAUGCUUUAUUACAAAAAUUCAGAGUUGGCUGCUGAAUUCUGGGAAUAGAAAUCUAAGUGCUGAGUAUAGAAUUCUUUAUAUAAACAUUGAGAUUCCAAAACCAAUGUUUGAAAAUUGAGAACUGGUGAUACAGAAUGGAACAUCCUCCUGAGAGUUGCAUUUGAAAGGACAUUAUAGACCUUUUCCCAGGAUCUGGAUUCGCGUUUUCCGCACACUGGACGCUCUUCUUUUUUUUCUUCAUUUCACAAACGUCACGUUGCAUGGCAACAAGCCUCUCUGGACCGGCCGGUGGAUCUUAGCGGGCUACUAUACGGGCUGGUGCGCAGCGACCAGUGCACGUGCUUGUAAAUUGUCGAGCGAUUCAGUUGUGCAGGCAUCUGGAACGAGAAGAUGAAGAAAACCAUGAGAAACCAUGAAGGACUUCUUCCUAUGACGUUAAAACGCUUUAGGAAGUCCUGGAAGAAAACAGGAAAUCCUGAGAAAUUAUUUUUCAAAAACAUUCUCAAUGUCGAUAGAGAAUUUUUGUACAGGUGUAUAAAUUAUUAGUAUUAUGCAUUUUUAAUUAAUAAUUUUAAUAUUUUCUCGCGGUUUUGAACAUUUGAAAAGUGCUAAGACAAUAUAAUAACAAUAAACAUUAUUUCAAUAAUUGGAAUUGUUAUAGCUCUUUAAAAAUAAAUCUUUAAUUAAAAUAAAAGGCACCGAAUUAAUUUGUACACCUAAUAGAUUAGGAAGCGCUGGUUGAAUGAAAUAGGAGACAGGAAAUGAACAGUUCCAACGACCCUAUUUUCAUAACACACUCGAUGAAUGCUAAACUCCUGAUUAUGUUAAAUCAACCAUGAAAUUUUGACCUGUAUUUAAUCCGGAUCCACUUCAGGGACUAUUAACCACCGCAAAUUACCUCAGCCUAAUCAAUAACCCAAAUUCUAGAUUUUAUGAGAAGAAGGAUUUCAAUUUUUAAUGCUGAGAUAUUCAUAGACUUUGAAUAUAUGAACUUAGAAAUUGAAGAAUUCCAAUAUUUUCAAAGCUGAUAAACUUAAGAAGUUUGGAACCCAGAAACUCCCAAGUUGAAGAACCUUAGAAUUUAAAAGUGUACAAGCUUUAAAAUCUCGAGAAUUCAAGAAUUAGUAGCUUUAAGAACUCAUGACUUCAAUUUAGAAACUUAGAAAUUGAAGAAUUCCAAUAUUUUCAAAGCUGAUGAACUCAGGAAAUUUGGAACCCAGAAGCUCCCAAGUUGAAGAACCUUAGAAUUUAAAAGCCUGCAAGCUUUAAAAUCUCAAGAAUUCAAGAAUUAGUAGGUUCAAGAACUCAGGACUUCAAUUUAGAAACUUAGAAAUUGAAGAAUUCCAAUAUUUUCAAAGCUGAUGAAUUCAGGAAGUUUGGAACCCAGAAGUUCCCAAGUUGAAGAACCUUAGAAUUUAAAAGCCUGCAAGCUUUAAAAUCUCAAGAACUCAAGAUUUAGUAGGUUUAAGAACUCAGGACUUCAAUUUAGAAACUUAGAAAUUGAAGAAUUCCAAUAUUCUCAAAGCUGAUAAACUUAGGAAACUUGGAACCCAGAAGCUCCUAAGCUGAACAACCUAGAAUUUGAAAGCCUGCAAGCUUUAAAAUCUCAAGAACUCAAGAAUUAGUAGGUUUAAGAACUCAGGACUUCAAUUUAGAAACUUAGAAAUUGAAGAAUUCCAAUAUUUUCAAAGCUGAUGAAUUCAGGAAGUUUGGAACCCAGAAGUUCCCAAGUUGAAGAACCUUAGAAUUUAAAAGCCUGCAAGCUUUAAAAUCUCAAGAACUCAAGAUUUAGUAGGUUUAAGAACUCAGGACUUCAAUUUAGAAACUUAGAAAUUGAAGAAUUCCAAUAUUCUCAAAGCUGAUAAACUUAGGAAACUUGGAACCCAGAAGCUCCUAAGCUGAACAACCUAGAAUUUGAAAGCCUGCAAGCUUUAAAAUCUCAAGAACUCAAGAAUUAGUAGGUUUAAGAACUCAGGACUUCAAUUUAGAAACUUAGAAAUUGAAGAAUUCCAAUAUUUUCAAAGCUGAUAAACUCAGGAAGUUUGGAGCCCAGAAGCUCCCAAGCUGAACAACCUAGAAUUUAAAAGCCUGCAAGCUUUAAAAUCUCAAGAACUCAACAAUUAGUAGGUUUAAGAACUCAGGACUUCAAUUUAGAAACUUAGAAAUUGAAGAAUUCCAAUAUUUUCAAAGCUGAUAAACUCAGGAAGUUUGGAGCCCAGAAGCUCCCAAGCUGAAGAACCUUAGAAUUUAAAAGCCUGCAAGCUUUAAAAUCUCAAGAACUCAAGAAUUAGUAGCUUCAAGAACUCAGGACUUCAAUUUAGAAACUUAGAAAUUGAAGAAUUCCAAUAUUUUCAAAGCUGAUAAACUUAGGAAACUUGGAACCCAGAAGCUCCUAAGCUGAACAACCUAGAAUUUAAAAAUAGAAUUUAAAUUGUUAAAUUAUGGUCGUUGAAUCUUAAGUAUUUAAUUUAAUUUAAUUGUACAAUAAUUAAAUUUACUUUAAUUGUACAAUAAGUUCAUGCAAUCUGAGAUACAUGGAAUGUACAAUAAGUUGAAAUUGAGAGAUUGGACAUAAUUUGACAAUCUACAAUAGGUGCUCAGUGUACCAGGUAGAUAGAACAGAUUGGAGCUGACUUAACAGGACCUUGGGAGCACGUUGGCUCGCUAUAAGCGGCUGUAUUUCCGGGCUAGGUAGCCGACAACCGGUCUAUCCGAUGAGCUGGUCCCUUCUAUUCACACCAGAAACUGUCCACCUUGCUGGUGGACUGGUCAGGUGAUUAAAGUGCAGCCAAGUGCGGUUCGUCGCUGAGAAUUGUAAAUGCUUGUCCUUGCAGAUGGAAUACAUUGAAGAUGGAACGUCCUCGACGAUUCUUAAUUUAUAAUUAAAUUCAGAUUCACUCAGAUGAAGAGAAAAUGUAUGCAGAGAAGAAUUAUGGCUUGAAACGAAACUGGAUAUUUAUAUUUGAUGAAUGGUUAAAUGAAAGUUCUUUUUUUUUUUUUUCAUG
This is a non-coding RNA of Osmia lignaria (orchard mason bee), 3226 nucleotides long. Lineage: Eukaryota; Metazoa; Arthropoda; Insecta; Hymenoptera; Megachilidae. The record is from RefSeq and is a predicted model, not a curated record.